GGCGUCGUCAGCUCGUGUCGUGAGAUGUUGGGUUAAGUCCCGUAACGAGCGCAACCCUUAUUCUUAGUUGCCAGCGAGUAAUGUCGGGAACUCUAAGGAGACUGCCGGUGACAAACCGGAGGAAGGCGGGGACGACGUCAAGUCAUCAUGGCCCUUACGGGUAGGGCUACACACGUGCUACAAUGGCUAGUACAGAGGGGAGCGAAGGGGCGACCUGGAGCGAAUCCUAUAAAGCUAGUCGUAGUCCGGAUUGGAGUCUGCAACUGACUCCAUGAAGUCGGAAUCGCUAGUAAUCGCGAAUCAGCAUGUCGCGGUGAAUACGUUCCCGGGCCUUGUACACACCGCCCGUGGGGCGGGGGCGGCGGGCCGGGCGCGGGCGCGGCGGCGAUCUAGAUGCAUCGCGAGUACCGACUA
This 414-nucleotide ribosomal RNA is filed under the name uncultured bacterium. RNAcentral describes it as "bacterial SSU rRNA". It matches the Rfam family "Bacterial small subunit ribosomal RNA", at positions 1047 to 1466 of the family's 1533-position model. The record is from RNAcentral.